This 467-nucleotide ribosomal RNA is filed under the name uncultured bacterium. RNAcentral's name for it is "partial 16S ribosomal RNA". It matches the Rfam family "Bacterial small subunit ribosomal RNA", at positions 28 to 507 of the family's 1533-position model. The record is from RNAcentral.
GACGAACGCUGGCGGCGUGCUUAACACAUGCAAGUCGAACGAUGACGACCGAGCUUGCUCGGUCUGAUUAGUGGCGAUCGGGUGAGUAACACGUGAGCAACCUGCCCUUCACUCUGGGAUAACCUCGGGAAAUCGGGGCUAAUACCGGAUAUGAGCUCCUGUCGCAUGGCGGGUGUUGGAAAGUUUUUCGGUGAAGGAUGGGCUCGCGGCCUAUCAGUUUGUUGGUGAGGUAGUGGCUCACCAAGGCGAUGACGGGUAGCCGGCCUGAGAGGGCGACCGGCCACACUGGGACUGAGACACGGCCCAGACUCCUACGGGAGGCAGCAGUGGGGAAUAUUGCACAAUGGGCGAAAGCCUGAUGCAGCGACGCCGCGUGAGGGAUGACGGCCUUCGGGUUGUAAACCUCUUUCAGCAGGGAAGAAGCGAAAGUGACGGUACCUGCAGAAGAAGCGCCGGCUAACUACGUG